AACAUCGCGCACCUGCGGGAACCUGCGGAGGGAUCAUUAUUGGUAUUUAAGAUGUGCUGACUUUGUAAAGGAGUAUUGUGCACUCUAAAAUUCAUUUUGGUUUUCUCUGUGCACUUGUUAGUAGGCCCAAAGAAAAAUAAAAAAGAGAGAGUUGGGUUUCAAGGGGAACUUGAACAUAUCCUUUUUAUUUUCUCUUGGUGUCCUAUGCACUUGUACUAAAAUGCUUUUUAUGAUUGAAUA
Molecule: unclassified non-coding RNA, 240 nt
Filed under: soil metagenome
Description: partial contains 5.8S ribosomal RNA, internal transcribed spacer 2, and large subunit ribosomal RNA
Source: RNAcentral